Molecule: unclassified non-coding RNA, 319 nt
Filed under: Hevea brasiliensis (rubber tree)
Lineage: Eukaryota; Viridiplantae; Streptophyta; Magnoliopsida; Malpighiales; Euphorbiaceae
Source: RNAcentral
AUGACACAAACACCUUGACACCCACUUCCAUGGGGACUAUCUUGUGGGAGAAUUGUAAGGGUUUAUGGGUCCAAUCGUUCCCCAACCAUCUACUAAUUCCCUUUCACAUGAAUAGAGCAGUACAUAAAUUAGUUUACACCACUUCAGUACCUUCAUUUCUUGUUUAUGUACACCAGGGCGGCCUUCUAAGGACAAAAUGAUUCCGAAACAAACUUAGCAAUUGAUGCCGCAUUGACCAUUUGCAGUAGCUUUUGUAGAAUCUGUUGUGAAGGGGUCGAUCCGAACCCAUAGCAAGGAGAAAAUGGAAGCAAGAAGUAUG